UGCUCCGUUCUCUUGGUCCUGGUUAACAUUCUAGCAGCUGCAUUCUGAAUGAGCUGCAGCUUUUUUACAGUCUUUUUAGGGAGUCCUGUUAAGAGGCCAUUACAGUAGUCAACCCUACUAGAGAUAAAAGCAUGGAUGAGCUUCUCUUGAUCUUCUUGGGACACCAAGCCUUUGAUUCUGGCUAUAUUUUUUAGAUGAUAGAAUGCUGUUUUGGUGACCGCUUUGAUAUGACUGUUAAAUGUGAGGUCUGAGUCUAUCAGAACACCAAGAUUACGCACUUGAUCGCUGGUUUUAGGACCCGAGAAUCCAGCUCUUUACUAAUACUUGUUCUUUUAUUUUUGUUGCCAAACACAAUAAUCUCAGUUUUAUCUUGGUUUAAUUGUAGACAAUUUUGGUUCAUUCAGAUAUUUAUGUGCUCUAUACAGUGACACAGAGAGUCUAUUGAGCUGUUGUCAUACGGUUCGAGAGCCAUAUAUAUUUGAGUAUCAUCAGCAUAGCUGCGGUAGUUAAUGUUGUUGUUCUGUAAAAUUUGGCCCAGAGGUAGCAUAUAGAGAUUAAACAGAAUCGGUCCGAGAACUGAUCCCUGUGGAACUCCGCAUGUCAUAGCCACCCUAUCAGAUUCAUGAUUAACUCCGGCCAUCUGGAUAAGAUCUGAACCAAUCAAGGACUGUCCCGGAGAGUCCUACCCACUUUUCCAGCCUAUCUAUAAGUGUUCCAUGAUCGACAGUGUCAAAUGCUGCACUGAGAUCUAAUAGAACCAGAACUGUUACUUUAUCAGAAUCAGUAUUCAGCCGUAUAUCAUUUAAAACUUUAAUCAGGGCCGUUUCAGUACUGUGGUGAGGUCGGAAGACAACCUUCUCAAUGAUCUUGGCUAUAAAAGGGAGAUUUGAUACAGGUCUAUAGUUGUUCAUUAUAGAUGCAUCCAGUGUUCUCUUUUUUAAUAGGGGCUUAAUGGCAGCUGUUUUUAGAGACGUUGGGAAAAUGCCUGAUUGCAGAGAGCUAUUAACUAUAUGCUGUAAGUCCAUUGUUAUAGAGUUAAAAAUUGUUUUUAAAAAGUCUGAUGGCAGUGUGUCGAGACAGCAAGUGGAAGCUUUAAGAUGUCGAACUGUUUCUUCUAGGGAUUUUUUGAUCAAUUGUAUUAAAAUGUGACAUAAUAACCAAGUUAUGUCUUGGUGGUCGUGGUGACGGUACAGAGUCCUUUUUAGACUGAGCAGUUUUGAUGGUCCGUCUUAUACUUAUUAUUUUUUCACUAAAGAAACACGCAAAUUCAUUACAUUUCACAGUGGACAUGAGUUCUGAUGGUAUCUGCUUUAUUGGGUUUGUAAGCUUGUCGACCAUGACAAAUAGAGGGCGGGUAUUGUUGAUAUUCUUGUUGAUCAUUCCCGAUAAAUGUUGCUGUCUGGCCCUGCGUAACUCAUUGUUGAAGCUACCAAGGCUUUGUUUAUAGAUGUCAUAGUGAAUUUGAAGUUUAGUUUUCCUCCACUUACGUUCCGCUUUCCUACAUUCUCUUUUCAGGGCGCUUCACCAUCAUGGUGGUUCUCCAUGGUGUUUUCUGUUUGCUCAUAGUGUUCUUUACCUUUACCGGUGCAACACGAUCCAUGACAUUCAAUAUUUUGGCAUUCAAAUUAUCCAGGAGUACAUCAACUGACUCAGCACUUAUUAUUGGAGAGAUAGCUAUGGCUUCCAUAAACUGAGCAUUGGUACUCUCAUUAAUGUACCUUUUCUUAACAGAAACUGAGUUUACUGGAACAUUCUGGGUGAUAAGUGAUUCAAAAAAGACACAGAAAUGAUCAGACAGGGCCAUGUCUUUAACCAUGACAGAGGAAAUAUCGAGACCUUUAGAGAUAACCAGUUCUAAAAUGUGGCCUUGAGUGUGUGUGCGCUCUUUCACAUGUUGAGUGAGAUCAAAAGUGUCAAGUAGUGCAAAAAGUUAUUUGGCAUUAUUGUCUGUACAAUUAUCUAUGUGGAUGUUAAAAUCCCCUGUAAUAAUAAACAAGUUAUAAUCAACUGAUAUAACAGAGAGUAGUUCAGCAAAAUCAUCAAUAAAAUUUGCAGAAUAUCGUGGAGGUCUGUAAAUGGUUAAAAACAAAAUUUUGGGGGUACAGAGGUAUUCAAAAUAAAUACAAUUACCUAGUGGAUUUUCUUAGCACUGGAAUGUAUCUUUGAAUAGGGCAGCCACUCCUCCUCCUUUCCUACCAUUUCGACACGUAUUCAUAUAGCCACAUGUUUCAGGUGCUGUCUCGUUAAGAAUUGCAGCACUACAGUCUUCUGUUAGCCAUGUGUCAGUGAGAAACAUAAAAUCUAGGUUGUAGGAUAUUAUAAUGUCAUUUACCAAGAAUGAUUUGUUGGCGAGAGAUCUGAUAUUAAGUAAAGCCAGCUUAAUAGAUAUAAUAGGGGUUCCUGGACUAGUAGGUUGACGUGUUACAGUUAACAGAUUAUACAAGUUUACUUUAUAGGGUGCAUGCUCACGAUUCCUUCUAUUUCUAAACAAGGUACAUUGGACAAGGCCUUGCUUUUGCAUAUUAAACAAUAACAUGUUACAAAGAACCUUGCAUAUCUCCAGGUAUACAUUUAGAAUCUAUUGAAACAAUACACAGGUAUUCAUGUUUAAUAUAGAAUAUAAAUUAAUCCAUCAAAAAUGAGGGCUGAAAUAAAAAUGAGGAAUAAAUCAGUCUGAGGUGAAAUUCUGAAACCAACAUUUAUUUUUUUCAUUUUAAAAUACAAAAUAUUUAGCAAUAUUAUAUUAUAGAGUAAACCAUUUGACAGCCUUUCAUGCUCUUCGUGUAGCUUCAACAUUUACCAGAAUGUCCUACUAUAUCAUAUCAUAUAUUAUUUCCUAUAGUCACCAGUCACCAGGGUUUCCACACUGCGUCCUGCUAUUCAGUCAGUCUAUUCAUGAGUCUCAGUGGAUGAGCAUGUCAUUUGUUAAAUUUUUGUUUUGAUUUUUUUCUCCUCUUCUCCUCCUCCUCUCCUCCUCCUCUCCUCCUCUCCUCCUCCUCUCCUCCUCUCCUCCUUACCCCAUUAACAUUUGAGCUAGCAAAAGUAGUAACCUGACAAAUUUGAAAAACAGUUGCACAGCAAAUGAAAGAGUGAAAACAGUUAAAGGUCUCUCUCGCACCCAUCAUGCAAUGCACCCAACACACCUUGCUUCAAAUCCCCAUGAUGCUAGUUGAUCAGGUCAAGCUCUCGUCUGGCGUCUCUAUCAUAACUCUCGACCCAAAACAUCUACAAUCAGGCCAAGCUCUCAUCUGGCGUCUCUAUACCCAUCAACUCAAAACAUCUACAGUCAGGCCAAGCUCUAUUUACAUAUUACAACAAAAUAUCUACACACAGACACAAUUGGAAACUAAAAACUUGAUGAAAGUUAUGAAAAACUAGAUCAUGGAAAUCUGGAACGUUCUCUUGAAAAGCUCCCUCCGUCUUCCAGAUAACAUAUGGAACAGUUUAUCUGUCAAGAUGGGGUAGACCACUUCGCACAACAGCUCAACAGGCUGUCAUCAUCGCAGAAGGGGAGAAAUAGAAUACAUCACACACACACACACACACACACACACACACACACACA
This is a long non-coding RNA of Coregonus clupeaformis (lake whitefish), 3565 nucleotides long. RefSeq lists it as uncharacterized. The record is from RefSeq and is a predicted model, not a curated record. The transcript has 2 exons. NCBI's taxonomy places the organism in Eukaryota, Metazoa, Chordata, Actinopteri, Salmoniformes, Salmonidae.